Non-coding RNA from Oryzias latipes (Japanese medaka), 1822 nucleotides. Lineage: Eukaryota; Metazoa; Chordata; Actinopteri; Beloniformes; Adrianichthyidae. The record is from RefSeq and is a predicted model, not a curated record.
AGGUUUGAGACCUGUGCGUUGCGCCUCACUUUCCCGCUCCAAGCAUUUCAUUCUGGCCUGGUGGAUUUUUAGGCCACGAUGAUUCUUGCACAGCUUUCUGCAAAUACAUAUCACGUUUGUCAUUUGUCCGUUUGCAUGAGUUCUUAACCUUAGUUCCGUCCGGAUGGAGAUCUCAUCCUACCCCCCUCUCGGGUAUCUCUUUGUAGGGCUUUCCGUAGCUUGUUUGGGUUCUCUCUCACGAAAGACACAGGCUGGGGUGCUAACCCAUACUGUCCCAGGUGCCGUCUUUCCGAGUUACCUCUAAAUUGUAGGUGGGACCGUUGGCGUGGAGUAAGCUUCUGUUUAUUUCCCAUCAUGCCUUUGAUUACACUCCACUCUCAUUUAUCGCUUUAAUCAAAGUCCUUUUAAAAUAAUGUGACAAAUACGCAACAGUAACACCAGGUUUAUAAUAUUUUCCACAUUGUAGAAGAGAAGGUGGAAUUGUAAGAACAGAAACCCAAAUUCACAAAGGUGUUUCAAAGAAACAAGGUUUUUUUGUACUUGCUGAAAGUAAUCCCAUUUGUACAAACAUCAUAGAUUUAUGAUGUUUUCUUUUUCUGUUAGUUUCAGCUGAACUGAAAUAUUGUCACACUUUUCCUCACUGCAGUGCAGCUUCUGUUCCUCCACCAGAGGGCGACAUUUUGAAGUGGGCGGGGCUCUCCUUCAGCUCUGCAUUCAACAUUCAGUCAACAAAAAGUGGUGCUGUGAAGAGAACAAUUGUCAGAGUGAAUGUUGAACAUCAGCUAGUUUCUCCUGUUGAUUGAAACCUUGUUGUACAGAUGGAACAUUGGCUGUGGAUUCUUCUUGCUGCUCUUUUCUUUGAGUGUAAAGGAGAAGACGGCCCACAGUGACAGGAAACAGCAAAACUCUGUACAAAAACUCGCAGUCAACACAAUACUCCACGUUAUCCACUAGAGGGUGCUCUAAAUGUAAUCUUUAUCCCCAUUGUGAACUCAUGAUUUCAUUGACCUCCAAAGCUUUCAUGUUGUAGGAGAGGUUCGAGAAAACACUCGAAACUAAAUAAAGCUGUAGAGAAAAGUAAAACAUUGAUUAAAAAUCAGUGUUUGUGUACUAAAAAGCUAGUUUACAAGGUGAAAAAGAAAAUUGUCUUGAUGCUGACGCAAACACUUUGUGAUAGAAAGGCUGUCCGAAAUGCCACAAAGAAAACUAAAGCACAACAGUAAACACAUUUUCUACAGUUCUGUGAUGUUCAUAAAGUCAGGAUCUGAAAAUGCCAGACUCAUCUGAAGAAAAGAAAACUAUCUCAGAGUAAUCUCAGAGAUCUAUGAAUAGAAUAAAAGCUCAAAGUUUAUCUAUCUCAGGGAGGAACUUUACAGAAAAGACAAGAGAACUUCUAAAGGCAUUGAGUUUUCAUCAAUGAAGAACAUCGCACCUUUAGGCAGACUGUUAACAAGGAGAAAAAGGAGAGAGAAGAGGAAGAACAGAUGAAAGAGCAGAUGGAGAGAUUGAGGGAGGAGCUGAGCUGUUAGUGAACAAUAGAAGAGACACAAACUUCCACUUUCAACACAGUUCAACACACAAAAGCCAAACAUCAGCUUCAUCCAACAUGCUGUCUGUGCAGACAUCUGUGUUCACUCUGCUGCUUCUAGUCAUUGGAACAGGUUGAUGGGAUUCUUUCAAAGAUCCAUUUCAGCAUUUGAUGUUUGUCCAUCACUGAUCUGACUUCUCUCUUCCUUUAGAUGUCAGCUGUGAAGAACUCACUGCAGUCAAGAAGGAAGAGUCCACUUUGGAAGGAACUUCUGUCACUCUGUCCUACAAAUAU